Molecule: unclassified non-coding RNA, 2137 nt
Filed under: uncultured fungus
Lineage: Eukaryota; Fungi
Description: sequence contains 18S rRNA gene, ITS1, 5.8S rRNA gene, ITS2, 28S rRNA gene
Rfam family: Eukaryotic large subunit ribosomal RNA (bases 1196-2137)
Source: RNAcentral
AGAUGGAUCAUUUAUGUAUAAAUUAUCGACAAAUGGUCACUAUUUAUUCACAUCCUGUGAAUAUGUAGAAUGCGAGCAACGCGACUUAAGGCAAUCUGUGUAUCCCGCAACUUGAGCGUAAUUGACUGGUUUGUGAACUCCGCAACUGAGCGCAACUGAUUCUCUCCAACUAAUUGAUUGAUUAAUAUGCAAACUAUGCGAUUUGUGAGUGGUAUGUUGUAAACCAUUUGACUUGGUGAUGUUUACUUGAGCUGUAAACCGUGCGAAUUGGGCGUUAUUGGUAUGAUGUGUGGCCCAUGUAAUUUGAAGGUGAAUUGGUUAAGUUGUGAGCCAUGCGAUAUAAGGAACAACUUGAUUGAACUGUGUGCCAUGUAUUUGGAGGAUUGUUGGUUGAGCUGUGAGCCAGGCGAUUUGAGGAAUACUGAAUAAACCGUGAACCGCGCGCGUCUUGAGAGAAUAUUGGUUAAUUUGUGAGUCACUUGUAUUGAGGGACAACGGUUAAUUUGUGUAACACCCGUAUUAAGGGAUAACGGUGAACGUGUGGACCAACGCGAUUUGAAGGAUAUUGGACAACUUGCAAGUUACCCGACUUGAGGGAUAUUAGUUAAUUUGUGAACCACGUUGAAUGAGUACUGGAUAACUUGUGAACUACGUGAUUUGAAGGAAAGCUGGAUACCGUGACGCGACGUGAAGGGCUAUUGGUUACUUUGUAGACUUAUGCGACAAUAGUGCUAUUGGUUAAAUUGUGGGUUACGCGAAUUGAGAGUCAUUGAUUAUUUUGAGGGGAAAGCGAACUGAGAAUAUGUGAAGAUUUGUGAACCAUGGACAUUAAGGGUUAUGGGUAGAAUUGUGGGCUACGCAGGAUUGCAAGCCAUUGGUAUAUUUUUCAUUAUAGUUCAAAAAUGAUAUUCUACGACCUUCAGCGAUGGAUGUCUCGGCUCUCGUGACGAUGAAGAACGCAGCUAGUUGCGAUAUGCAAUGUGACUUGCAAACUUCUGAGAAUCAUUAGAUUUUUGAACGCAAAAGGUGCUUCUAGGUCAUUGCUUAGGAGCAUGUUCGCUUCAGUGCUUUAUAUGUUUGUUGUCUUAAUCAGUAGACAACGUGUAUAGAUGCUGUUUGUACAGCGUCUCUAAUUCAUUGAUCAGACACUACUUUGGUAUCUCCUUGAAGUGGAUGAUCAAGAAAAUCUAUAAAAAAGCCUGAAUUUGAGCAAGGUUACCCGCUGAAUUUAAGCAUAUUAUUAAGCGGUGGAAGAGAAACUAACUAGGAUUCCCCUAGUAACGGCGAGUGAACAGGGAAAAGCUCAAACUGAAAAUCAGUAGUUUACUACUGAAUUGUAGUUUCGCGAAGUGCAACCUGUGUUUGUUCUAGGCUAAGUCUCUUGGAAAAGGGUACCAAAGAGGGUGAAAGUCCCGUCUUUGCCUACAACUGUUCACAUUCGGUGCAUUUUCAAAGAGUCGCGUUCCUUGAGAUUGGAGCGCUAAGUGGGUGAUAAAUUUCAUCUAAAGCUAAAUACAAACGAGAUUCCGAUAGCAUACAAGUACCGUGAGGGAAAGAUGAAAAGGACUUUGGAAAGAGAGUUAAAAGGAACUGAAGUUGCUGAAGGGUAAGCGGAGGGUUUUGACUGUUUAGUGGAGGUUGGCAUUUGACUUGAUCUUUGCUGAUCGGUUUUGAGUGCCUUGAGCUUCGCGGUGACACUGGAAGGUGAUUGCAAUUACUGAGUAAAGUGAUGAUGGAGUUCCUACGGGUCGACUUCUCUGCUGUUAUCGGUUCGAGCGAUCACUAUGCUAUUGUUACACAUUAGUGGUAGCAAUUUAGUCUCCAGAAAUGUCGAUUCUCUCCGUCCCGUCUUGAAACACGGACCAAGGAGUCUAACUUAUAUGCGAGUACAAGGGUAAAAAACCUACGUGCGAAAUGAAAGUAACAAUCAGGAGGGGCUUCCUGCACUGAUGCCCGGCUAUAAGGCUGAGGUUGAGCAUAUAUGUUAGGACCCGAAAGAUGGUGAACUAUGCCUGGGUAGGGUGAAGCCAGAGGAAACUCUGGUGGAAGCUCGUAGCGAUACUGACGUGCAAAUCGUUCGUCAAACUUGGGUAUAGGGGCGAAAGACUAAUCGAACCAUCUAGUAGCUGGUUCCCUC